This 440-nucleotide ribosomal RNA is filed under the name uncultured bacterium. RNAcentral's name for it is "partial 16S ribosomal RNA". It matches the Rfam family "Bacterial small subunit ribosomal RNA", at positions 338 to 795 of the family's 1533-position model. The record is from RNAcentral.
CCUACGGGUGGCUGCAGUGGGGAAUAUUGGACAAUGGGGGAAACCCUGAUCCAGCGACGCCGCGUGAGGGAAGAAGUAUUUCUGUAUUUAAAGCUCUAUCAGCAGAGAAGAAAAUGACGGUACCUGACUAAGAAGCCCCGGCUAACUUCGUGCCAGCAGCCGCGGUAAUACGGAGGGGGCAAGCGUUAUCCGGAUUUACUGGGUGUAAAGGGAGCGUAGACGGGCUGGUAAGUCAGAUGUGAAAGUGCGGGGCUCAACCCCGGUACUGCAUUGGAAACUGUUGAACUAGAGUACAGGAGAGGUAGGCGGAAUUCCUGGUGUAGCGGUGAAAUGCGUAGAUAUUAAGAGGAACACCAGUGGCGAAGGCGGCUUACUGGACUGUAACUGACGUUGAUGCUCGAAAGCGUGGGGAGCAAACAGGAUUAGAUACCCGAGUAGUC